Molecule: unclassified non-coding RNA, 205 nt
Filed under: soil metagenome
Description: partial contains 5.8S ribosomal RNA, internal transcribed spacer 2, and large subunit ribosomal RNA
Source: RNAcentral
AACACUGUUAACCUGCGGUACCUGCGGAAGGAUCAUUAUCGAGUUGCAAAACUCCAACCCUUUGUGAACAUACCUCAGUCGUUGCUUCGGCGGUGGACGGCCUGUUUUUCGGAACGGCCGGAAGCCGCCGGAGGUUCCAAACUCGUAUUUUUUAGUGUAUCUCUGAGCCUGAAAACAAAUAAUCAAAACUUUCAGCAACGGAUCU